This 625-nucleotide ribosomal RNA is filed under the name Ramaria sp. 11 RGO-2016. RNAcentral describes it as "eukaryotic LSU rRNA". The stretch from base 236 to 390 matches the Rfam family "5.8S ribosomal RNA". The record is from RNAcentral. Lineage: Eukaryota; Fungi; Basidiomycota; Agaricomycetes; Gomphales; Gomphaceae.
AAGGAUCAUUACAGUAUGAUUACAGGGGGGUUUGGAUGCUGGCCUGUGAGGGCAUGUGCGCGCUUCCCUGUUGUUAAUCCUACAUUACACCUGUGCACUUAUGGCGAGCGCCUCCCAUUCGGAGCCGUUCAAACCCUGCUGGGGCUUGGACUGGGGUGCUCCCUCUUUUUAUUUACCGUCUCAGCCUGUUUGAAUGCAUGUUUUGAAGCUCUACGGAGUAGUAAUAUAUAUAUAUAACUUUCAACAACGGAUCUCUUGGCUUUUGCAUCGAUGAAGAACGCCGCGAAAGUGCGAAACGUAAUGUGAAUUGCAGAAUUCAGUGAAUCAUCGAAUCUUUGAACGCAUCUUGCGCUCCUUGGUAUUCCGAGGAGCAUGCCUGUUUGAGUGUCGUGAAAUCCUCUCAAUCCCCCUUUUUGAAGGAGGGUUGGAUUUGGACGUUUGUGACGGCCUUUGGCCCUGUNGCUCGUCUUUAAAUGUAUUAGCUUGGCCUCUGGAGUUGGUCCGAUGACGGUGUGAUAAAUAAAUGCGUCUCGCCGUUUUGUCCGAUUCUAAUCCGAGGUAGCUUAUAAUCGGUUGUUUUUGCGAAUCUGACCUCAAAUCAGGUAGGACUACCCGCUGAACUUAA